RNAcentral lists this ribosomal RNA (496 nucleotides) under uncultured bacterium. RNAcentral describes it as "partial 16S ribosomal RNA". It matches the Rfam family "Bacterial small subunit ribosomal RNA", at positions 28 to 506 of the family's 1533-position model. The record is from RNAcentral.
GAUGAACGCUGGCGGCGUGCCUAAUACAUGCAAGUCGAGCGAACAGACGAGGAGCUUGCUCCUCUGACUUUAUCGGCGGAGGGGAGCGUAACACGUGUAUAACCUACCUAUAAGACUGGGAUAACUUCGGGAAACCGUAUCUAAUACCGGAUAAUAUAUUGAACCUGAUUGGUCAAGAGUGAAAUACGGUUUUGCUGUCGCUAAUAGAUUGAAACGCGCCGCAUUAGUUAGUUGGUUAGGUAACGGAUUACCAAGGCGACGAUGCGUACCCGACCCGAGAGGAUGAUCGGCAACACGGCAGCUGGGACACGGACCAGCACCGUAAGGGAGGCAGCACUAGGGAACCUACGGGAAGGGGCGAAAGGCAGAAGGAGAAAAGGCGCGAGAGUGAUGAAGAUCUUCGGAUCGUAAGACUCUGUGAUUAUGGAAGAAUAAAUGUGUAAGUACCUAUGUGCGAAUUGACGGUACGGAAUAAGAAAGCCACGGUUAACUACUG